CGGGGAGAUUCACGUCCAUCCGGCCACUGGCCUCCGCUCUCGGCAGAUGGGGCCGGCCGCCCGCGCGGAGCAAUCCGCGGCGGGGUCGUGUCCGGUUGCUUUUCCACUCGCCGCGGGGUGGAGCCGUUCCAGUGUGCGGUGGACCGCACUUCUCCCCUAGUAGGACGUCGCGACCCGCUGGGUGCCGGCCUACGGCCUGGGUGCGCAGCCUGUCCUUCCGCGGGCCUCGGUUCGCGUCGUUGGGCAGAGCCCCAGUGCUCUGGCUGGCUGCUCGGCGGUAUAUCUUGAGGAGUCGAUUCGCCAACUUUUGUUGGGCGCCCUUGGCUCCUGGCAAGCGUGCGCGGUUCUUCCCGGAUGACGGACCUACCUGGCCCGGCCCCGGACCCACGCCGCUGUUGGCACGGGAAGUCCUCGGGCGGAAUGAUCGCUCCCGUCAGCGGCGCUUCAGCUUUGGACAAUUUCACGACCCGUCUUGAAACACGGACCAAGGAGUCUAACAUGUGCGCGAGUCAUUGGGCUCUGCGAAACCUAAAGGCGCAAUGAAAGUGAAGGUCCCGCCUCGCGCGGACCGAGGGAAGAUGGGGUUCGGCGGCCCUUUGUGGCGGCGGCCUCGGCAUUCCCGGGGCGUCUC
Molecule: ribosomal RNA, 631 nt
Filed under: Ichthyotettix mexicanus
Lineage: Eukaryota; Metazoa; Arthropoda; Insecta; Orthoptera; Pyrgomorphidae
Description: eukaryotic LSU rRNA
Source: RNAcentral